This 229-nucleotide ribosomal RNA is filed under the name uncultured bacterium. RNAcentral describes it as "partial 16S ribosomal RNA". It matches the Rfam family "Bacterial small subunit ribosomal RNA", at positions 355 to 576 of the family's 1533-position model. The record is from RNAcentral.
UAGGGAAUCUUCGGCAAUGGGGGCAACCCUGACCGAGCAACGCCGCGUGAGUGAAGAAGGUUUUCGGAUCGUAAAGCUCUGUUGUAAGUCAAGAACGGGUGUGAGAUGGAAAGUUCACACUGUGACGGUAGCUUACCAGAAAGGGACGGCUAACUACGUGCCAGCAGCCGCGGUAAUACGUAGGUCCCGAGCGUUGUCCGGAUUUAUUGGGCGUAAAGCGAGCGCAGGC